CCUACGGGUGGCAGCAGUCGAGAAUCAUUCACAAUGGGGGAAACCCUGAUGGUGCGACGCCGCGUGGGGGAAUGAAGGUCUUCGGAUUGUAAACCCCUGUCAUGUGGGAGCAAAUUAAAAAGGUAGUACCACAAGAGGAAGAGACGGCUAACUCUGUGCCAGCAGCCGCGGUAAUACAGAGGUCUCAAGCGUUGUUCGGAAUCACUGGGCGUAAGGCGUGCGUAGGCUGUUUCGUAAGUCGUGUGUGAAAGGCGCGGGCUCAACCCGCGGACGGCCCAUGAUACUGCGAGACUAGAGUAAUGGAGGGGGAACCGGAAUUCUCGGUGUAGCAGUGAAAUGCGUAGAUAUCGAGAGGAACACUCGUGGCGAAGGCGGGUUCCUGGACAUUAACUGACGCUGAGGUACGAAGGCCAGGGGAGCGAAAGGGAUUAGAUACCCUUGUAGUC
Molecule: ribosomal RNA, 446 nt
Filed under: uncultured bacterium
Lineage: Bacteria
Description: partial 16S ribosomal RNA
Rfam family: Bacterial small subunit ribosomal RNA
Source: RNAcentral